Molecule: long non-coding RNA, 347 nt
Filed under: Setaria viridis
Lineage: Eukaryota; Viridiplantae; Streptophyta; Magnoliopsida; Poales; Poaceae
Description: long non-coding RNA (SVIR_LNC004026)
Source: RNAcentral
UGAGAUCGCCACUCGUAAGGAGUUUUUGGAUCUAGUUUGGUCGAGUCGAGUCGUGUGAGAGUGUCGUGUGAGAUUAUAAAUUAGUAUUUUUAUUUCAAUCAAAAGUAGAUAAAGUAGUAGUCUUCUUAAGUUUUUUGGAAGACUUAGGCCUAGAGCGCUACUCUAGCAUCUUUGUGAGAAGCAUGAAUAAUAUCGAGGAUCGUGCGAGUGUUUUUAUUGUCUACCUUUGCUUGCUUGUCUUUUAUUUUGUCUUUACAACUUUGGAUCAUAAGCACUGUCUUGAAUUCUAAAUCUUAGUUGUGGAGUUUAGUAAUUGAUUUGUUUAUGCAAUACCCAUGCUUUAUGAU